Molecule: long non-coding RNA, 573 nt
Filed under: Bos grunniens (domestic yak)
Lineage: Eukaryota; Metazoa; Chordata; Mammalia; Artiodactyla; Bovidae
Description: lncRNA (ENSBGRG00000015439.1)
Source: RNAcentral
UGGAGUAACAGGCUCAUGUAACAGGCUGCAGUUCCUCUAACAGGCUCAGCAGACUUCAGUUCUGACACACAGUUGCCAUCUGCUUGUCUCUAGGUGCUGUGAUGAGCUCCCAUCCCAGACGCCCACUGUGGCCCAGCCUCCUUGUUCCCAGUGCCCAGCUCCCAUACACAUAGCCCUCUCACACUCCAGCCGUCUUCUUAUGAUUUGUCUUCAGCAUCAUGUGGCUUCUAUGUGUUUAAGCUUGAGGCGCCGGAGAGCUUUCAAGGAAAGGGAAACAGUAACUUGCCCAGAAAUCACUCACUUCAUGGAAUAAGAGUAGUGAAUCGUCUCAGAAUCUUUAGUUACACUGUCUGGGAACCAGAGACAAGACUCCGCUGCCCUUCAAGCUCCGACAGAAACCAUCCAGAGCCAUUUUCUUAACCAGAUUUGAAAACAAACAAGCAGGCAAUGCCCAGAAGUGCCUACAUUUGCUGAGUUUAUAAAUUGUGAAUGAGUUGCGAAUGUUUUGCAUUGUCGUGAAAGAGGAAAAUCUAAAUUUUAAAUGUCUGCUCCUCAAAAAUAAACACUAGAAAG